Molecule: microRNA precursor, 75 nt
Filed under: Schistosoma mansoni
Lineage: Eukaryota; Metazoa; Platyhelminthes; Trematoda; Strigeidida; Schistosomatidae
Description: mir-3492 microRNA precursor family
Rfam family: mir-3492 microRNA precursor family
Source: Rfam by way of RNAcentral
AUCAUUCUAAAUUCGUGUCGAGUUUUCAUCAGACACCAGACCAUUAGUACUGAUGAGACUCCUAAGAAAAAUGAA